Molecule: non-coding RNA, 129 nt
Organism: Triticum aestivum (bread wheat)
Lineage: Eukaryota; Viridiplantae; Streptophyta; Magnoliopsida; Poales; Poaceae
Source: Rfam
UUAGUACCCCCUCCGUCCGGAAAUACUUGUCAAAGAAAUGGAUGUAUGUAUCUAGAUGUAUUUUAGUUCUAGAUAUGUCCACUUUUAUCCAUUUCCGCGACAAGUAAUUCCAGACGGAGGGAGUAGCUG